CUACGGAGGGUGCAAGCGUUAUCCGGAAUCAUUGGGUUUAAAGGGUCCGUAGGCGGGCGAUUAAGUCAGAGGUGAAAUCCCACAGCUCAACUGUGGAACUGCCUUUGAUACUGGUUGUCUUGAGUUACAGUGAAGUAGAUAGAAUGUGUAGUGUAGCGGUGAAAUGCAUAGAUAUUACACAGAAUACCGAUUGCGAAGGCAGUCUACUAACUGUAUACUGACGCUAAUGGACGAAAGCGUGGGGAGCGAACAGGAUUAGAAACCCUAGUAGUCC
This 274-nucleotide ribosomal RNA is filed under the name uncultured bacterium. Its description in RNAcentral is "partial 16S ribosomal RNA". It matches the Rfam family "Bacterial small subunit ribosomal RNA", at positions 523 to 796 of the family's 1533-position model. The record is from RNAcentral.